This 717-nucleotide long non-coding RNA is filed under the name Brassica napus (rape). Its description in RNAcentral is "long non-coding RNA (BNAP_LNC008996)". The record is from RNAcentral. Lineage: Eukaryota; Viridiplantae; Streptophyta; Magnoliopsida; Brassicales; Brassicaceae.
UCCGACUCUCGGUUGAACUUGGCUCAUCCUUUUGCGGCAAGCUGUUGGUGCGGACUAAGUUGUGUCUUGGGACUGUGGUUGUGGUGGUCGUGUUUGCUUGUCUAUCGCUACUCGAUCGAGUGUGUGUUUAGGAUUUUAUUUUUCUUAUUCUGCUUCUUGUUAUCUAUGUAUUUCUGUCACAAAUUAAAAACUUGGUAAUAAUAUCUUAACAUUUUUACCAAAAAAAAAAAAAAAAAAAAUCCUCAGUUACAUUAGUUUCUCUUAUUAAUCUGUCAUAUAUAUCUUGUCCCCUUUGAAAGUGUUUUACGAAGAACAAACAUAAAUCAGAUCUAACCUUUUUUAAUCUCUUUUGCAUGUUGGAUCUGAUGACUUUCUUGGUUAUUCCGAUGAGCUGGAAACAUGUUACAAUGCCUUUUUUAUUGAAAGUUUAAGCCGUACAAACAAAUAUGGUCACAACUACUCAAAUGGUAUACAAUCUAUACAAUUAACGUUUGUUAAAAUUGUAGAAACUUAAACAAUAUAUAAUUAUUUUAAAUAUGUAAAAUAUAAUAAUUUUUUUAAAAAAAAUAUUCUUAUUUUCUAGAUAAAAAGUAUUUCUUAUAUUAAUUAUCCCAAGAUUUUAUUAUUUAACAGUUACUUUGUAUAAUAGUUAAAUAGUUGAUAUAAAUCAAAAAAGUUAAUUUAAUAUUUAUAUAUUAAUAAAAUAAAUUAAUCUAU